This 75-nucleotide transfer RNA is filed under the name Bdellovibrionales bacterium. Its description in RNAcentral is "tRNA-Val". It matches the Rfam family "tRNA". Rfam says of the family: Transfer RNA (tRNA) molecules are approximately 80 nucleotides in length. Their secondary structure includes four short double-helical elements and three loops (D, anti-codon, and T loops). The record is from RNAcentral. Lineage: Bacteria; Pseudomonadati; Bdellovibrionota; Bdellovibrionia; Bdellovibrionales.
GCGAGCUUAGCUCAGCGGUAGAGCAAGGCUUUUACACAGCUUAGGUCGGGGGUUCGAUCCCCUCAGCUCGCACCA